Grammomys surdaster is the source of this 104-nucleotide small nuclear RNA. Lineage: Eukaryota; Metazoa; Chordata; Mammalia; Rodentia; Muridae. The record is from RefSeq and is a predicted model, not a curated record.
AUGCUUGUUUCAGCAGCACUUAGACCAAAAUUGGAAUAAUACAGAGAUUAGCAUGGGCCCUGUACAAGGAUGACACAGGAAUUCGUGAAGAGUUUCAUAUUUUU